This is a long non-coding RNA of Carassius gibelio (silver crucian carp), 1840 nucleotides long. RefSeq lists it as uncharacterized. The transcript is spliced from 3 exons. NCBI's taxonomy places the organism in Eukaryota, Metazoa, Chordata, Actinopteri, Cypriniformes, Cyprinidae. The record is from RefSeq and is a predicted model, not a curated record.
CUUCAAUUGUUGCAAAGUGAAGCCGGAGGAAAUGUUAGAACAUGAACAGAUCAAACCAGGAUGGAAUGGAGCCAACACGAAGACAAUAUAACAGUCUGUAAACAUUUUUUGUUUGUUUGUUUAUUUCCUUGUUUUUGGCAAAUAAGAAAUUGCUGAGAGUUGUCAGGUAUUUGUUCAGUAUGAUCUUUUACACUUUCUUUUAAAGUGGACUUAAUGAAAUUAAUAUAUGCUUUGGUGGGAUUGAAAAUCAUUGUGAUGUUUUGUUGCUAUUGCAAUGUAAAAUCAGAGAUAUUCAGUGAUGUAGUUGAAAAGGAUGUUUUUCAGAAACGGAUGGAUCAGAGAGUAUCAUGGGGCAGGACUCAGUCAGUCGUAUGUCUGGAAUUCCGCUAGUUCUGAACUAUUCGUGAUUGGCAAAAGUUCACUACUAGCAGAACUCAGAUAUACAACUGAAUUCUCAACGAAAGCUCAAGAUUAGCAGUUUGGUCUCAUAUGGCCUGCCAUUGGACAGCUGCUAUAUUCACGGCUGGAUUGAAUAUGACAAGAGCUCACUUCAUAUUCUUUCUUUGCACUUUUCUCUUGAUUUGGAAGUUAUCUACUUAUUGGAUGAAGUACAUGAAGUUAAGACCAUCCUUGGAGUGUUUACUCCAUUAAUUAUAACUGAAGGACUACGGACUUAAUUACAACCAGACAUAUGAGAUACUUCUCCGUUUUUAUGUUUUAGCUGUGGUCAAAUGGUGUGUUUGAGUCUGUUUGACACAGGAAGAAAUAAGAGCAAUGUGACAUUUAAUAUACAAACUGUUGUAUUGUAUGUCAAUAACUGCUACAUUUAACAACACAUUCUUUAUUUCUUUAAAUGUAUUGUACAUUUGUAUUGAUAUUAAUGAUUUUCUACUCAUUCUACCACUUCAGUAAGCCAAGUUACAAAAAAAAAAUUUUGACAUUAAAAUCAAAAAUCCCUAUUGUGUCUAUGUUUAUUAUUUACAAUCAUUGUAACACUGUUUUUCACAUUCCAAAGUCGUUCUGUCCACAGGAGGAGGUUACAUUAAGAGUGGGUUUAUUUCUCUGGUGCAACAGAGGAGACCUGGGUGACCUGAGAUGAAGAAGAAGCCUCAUCUUCCUCAAUAUUUUUGCCACAGACCAUCUUCAUCAUGCAGGACCGGAACUGGGUUUCAAAAGAAAAGAGCAGAACAUGUUACUUGAAGUGAGUAGUUAUGCCAUGUGAACAUGGCACUUGGUACUGUAUCCCUGUAGGGACAAACAUCAACAAUACUGCAAAUGUCCACAUAGCACAUAAUAGUAUACCUGUUUGUUCAUUAAGACAUAGAUGACAGGAUUGUACACUGUAGAGGAUUUAGAAAGGCAGGAUGGUAUGGUAGCCAUUCUCAGAUCAAAAGCUUCACCACGGUGGAAAACUAUCCAGAGAGAAAAGCUAGCAUAUGGUGCCCAGCAUAACAAGAAGCCGAAAACCAUCACCACCACCAUCUUUGUCACCUCCCUCUCUGCCUUCUGGGUCGAAGCAGAAUCUGCUUGAGCUUUGGCUGCCUGGUAGGACAAACGUUGGAUUUCAGAGCACCUGGCAACAUGAGCAACACUGCAAUAAUAUACAUAUACCGUCUCCAUCUAGUGGACACGAGCAAUGUGUAUCCUAAAGCAUUAAAGAGUGCGGCAGAGGAAUGAAAGACAUGUAUAAUUUAUUCAUGUAAAAAUACAUAAUGAAUGGUAUUUUAUCAGUAUUUAAAUGUUAAUACGAAUCUCACCUUUAUAAAAACAACAAAGUGUGUUCAUUUUAUGAUCUGAAUGUUCAGAAGGUUUUCAGAUCAAAAUAAAGAACAGAAAAUAA